AUCAGAGUCCAAUUUACUCUUCAGGGGCCCUAAUCAUUCUAUACCUGAACUGGACAGAAAGAAAAUAAUUUGUUCACUUAACAGAAAGAAAGUCUAUACUCCCAAAACAAAAUGAGUCAGACAGUGAUCUUUGAAUUAACAGGCUCUGCUGACGGACUAUUUUCCCCACUUUUCAUCAGUCUGGUGACAGUGGACUCUGGACAGAGAUAAAUGAGAGGUCAAGCUACCCUUCAUUUUUCCAGAGGAUUAUUUCACCCACAGAUAAGGCACGAAGAAGGAAGUAAUAGUCAAGACCAGCCUGUGAGAAAACAACAAAAAAAGGAUAACUAACAAAAGCCCCAUUCUCCAGCUCUUGCCCCGGCCAGCGCUUCAGCACGGUGAGCACUCCCACUAUAGCAAGCAGAGUUUGUUAUUUUUUUCAGUGAGGGGGGUAAUAACCCAACAAAGCUAAUAGGUGGCAAGGGUGAUUGUGCCUCAAGUAUUAGAUGCUUGUGUUACUUUUCCUAACUUUAUAGCUGGUGUUAGAAUACCAAAAGAAAAUUUUUAAAAAGUUUCUGCACCCAGUUUUUUCAUAGUACAGAAAGCCUGGCACCAUACAAAAGAAGGUAUGCUAAAAUAUAUUUACUGACUGGUUUUAAAUGAAGAGAAGAGUGAUAAACUUCAUAAUGUCAUUGUGAGAUUUAAGUUUUCAUUCUCCGUUUUGAGGAAGGAAAAUAACUUUCCAAAUGCUAUUAUUAUUCUUAGGAUAUAUUGAGGAAACAAGAAGGGUUAUCAUGAUAAUAAGUAAAAAGCAAACAAAGAUACACAUGAACUUGUUACAGACUUUCUUAUUGUUAAAUUUGAUUUCAUCAACAAUAAGAAAGAAGUAAGUCUACUUCCUUUUUGAGUCACUGUCAAACUUUAUUCUACUAUGGAAGAUAGUUUUUAGAUUCUUUGAAUUUUCUUAGGGAAAUCCUAAUCCUAAUAUAUAAAGGACUUGAACAGUUGUCAUUUCUAUUUCUCCAAUUAUUUUAAAUUUAUGGUUCAAAGCAACAUAGAGACAGGAUGAGUUUUUAGAGACUUAGCACUCCUUAAGGUUGCCAAAUUAAACUCAGCAAUUAGAAUUACUACUGAUAAAACUACAUUUAAAUAGGCACAUCAAUUAAUGUAUUUUCUCUAGGAAGUACUUGAGAAAACAGAAUGCACAAAUGGCUUACACGCUGCAGAAUAAAAAAGGUACAUGAGAAUCAAAAGAUUUAUCUGAUAAUGACUUCUGUUUAUGUGGAUGUUAUAGACAUUACAUGCAAACCGGCUCAUUUUCACAAGGUGCAUAGUGAAAAAUGCUUUUCAUGAUAUUUCAAGAAUAAUUCUACCUAGGUUUUAUGCUUAUCUCUUGUUUAGAGGUUCAAAUUAAAUAGUUUCACUCUGUAGACUGUAGAGUGCUAUGCAAAUGGCAGUAGAGCAGCUUCAGAACCACUUCUAACUGUAACAUUAAGGCAAACUGAUGAGCACGCACAUCUAUUUGUCUACAAUUUGUUUAUAGUUCUGAUUAUGCAGCUAUGGGCUCUUUCAUACCCACGUUAUUUUGCCCCACAACCUUCCUCCUAUGUCCCCUGGAACUUUUUCUCCAUGGUUAACGUCAUCUCUCACAGGCUCAAACACUUCUUAUGCUCCCUUUUUAUCUUCCCCUUAACUAAGCCUUGUCUCACCCCUGAAGGAAGAGCUUCAUCCCUUUCCAGUGAAGCCUGCUUGCCCUGUAUGAUGCAGGGUCAAAGUAUGAGGUGCUCCUCAACUACCCAAUCCACCGGUGCAUCAUGAGUCCUCAACAUCCAUGUAAACCACUUUUCCUAUAAAGAGCAGAUGGUAAAUAUUUUAGGUUUAUGGACCAUAAGUCUCUGAUGCAAUUGCUGAACUCUGUCAUUGUAGCAUGAAUGCAGCUGUAGACAAUAUGUACAUAAAUGGACAUGGCUGUGUUCCCAUAAUGCCUUAUUUUAAAAAAUAGGCAAUUGACAAGUGAAUCAUAGUUUGCUGAUUCCUGCGAUAUGUAAAUGCAUAAAUAAAAUUGUGACAUACUCACAAUGAGAUACUAUACAGCAAUGGGUAUAAGUGAGCUACAACUACAUGUAGCAAAAUGGGUGAAUCUUACAAACCAUUGAGUGAAGAAAACCAGAGGAAAACAAUACAUACUAUUUGAUUCCAUAAUAGUGCAAAGAUAGUUGAAACGAAUUUAUGAUAUUAGAAAUGUGGAGGGGGUUAUCCCCUGGAGGGGGAGGUAGGAACUGCAUGAAAGCAUGAGGAGGCCUUCACAGUACUGGAAUGCCCUAUUUCUUGACUUGAGUCCUAUUAUGCAGAUGUUCGGUUUGUAAAACUUCAGCUAGCAGAAUGGUUGUAGUAUGUACAUUUUUAUGUAUGUAUAUUAUACUUCAAUUAAAAUAUCAUCUAUUGUAUACUGUGGGGAAUACAUUUUAAAAAAUUAUUGGAGUUCGACUAAAAUUCAUGCAAAGAGCUCCAGAUGGAAGCACAGUCUCCUAGAAAGAGC
RNAcentral lists this long non-coding RNA (2518 nucleotides) under Homo sapiens (human). Its description in RNAcentral is "HSALNT0347608". The record is from RNAcentral. Lineage: Eukaryota; Metazoa; Chordata; Mammalia; Primates; Hominidae.